This 109-nucleotide ribosomal RNA is filed under the name Prolemur simus (greater bamboo lemur). Lineage: Eukaryota; Metazoa; Chordata; Mammalia; Primates; Lemuridae. The record is from RNAcentral.
GUCUACAGCCUUGCCACCCUGAACGCGCAUGAUCUCGUCUGAUCUUGGAAGCUAAGCAGGGUCAGGCCUGGUUAGUACUUGGAUGGGAGAAAGUAAGAAAGAGAAGGCA